Molecule: ribosomal RNA, 316 nt
Filed under: uncultured archaeon
Lineage: Archaea
Description: bacterial SSU rRNA
Rfam family: Archaeal small subunit ribosomal RNA
Source: RNAcentral
UCCUGCGAGCCNUUGUAGUAAUACAAGGCAGNACGGCUCAGUAACGCGUAGUCAACCUAACCUAUGGACGGGAAUAACCUCGGGAAACUGAGUAUAAUGCCCGAUAGAACAUUAUGCCUGGAAUGGUUUAUGUUCCAAAUGAUUUAUCGCCGUAGGAUGGGACUGCGGCCUAUCAGUUUGUUGGUGAGGUAAUGGCCCACCAAGACUAUUACAGGUACGGGCUCUGAGAGGAGUAGCCCGGAGAUGGGUACUGAGACACGGACCCAGGCCCUAUGGGGCGCAGCAGGCCGAGAAAACUUUGCAGAUGNGCUAAAGC